GACGAACCGAGCGAACGUUAUUCGGAAUCACUGGGCUUAAAGGGUGCGUAGGCGGGCACGCGAGUCAGGGGUGAAAUCCCACGGCCCAACCGUGGAAGUGCCUCUGAUACCGCGAGCCUCGAGGGGGAUAGGGGCGUGCGGAACUUCCGGUGGAGCGGUGAAAUGCGUAGAUAUACGGAAGGAACACCGGUGGCGAAAGCGGCGCGCUGGAUCCCUACUGACGCUGAGGCACGAAAGCCAGGGGAGCAAACGGG
This 254-nucleotide ribosomal RNA is filed under the name uncultured bacterium. RNAcentral describes it as "partial 16S ribosomal RNA". It matches the Rfam family "Bacterial small subunit ribosomal RNA", at positions 524 to 776 of the family's 1533-position model. The record is from RNAcentral.